Molecule: ribosomal RNA, 487 nt
Filed under: Escherichia coli
Lineage: Bacteria; Pseudomonadati; Pseudomonadota; Gammaproteobacteria; Enterobacterales; Enterobacteriaceae
Description: bacterial SSU rRNA
Rfam family: Bacterial small subunit ribosomal RNA
Source: RNAcentral
GAAACUGCCUGAUGGAGGGGGAUAACUACUGGAAACGGUAGCUAAUACCGCAUAACGUCGCAAGACCAAAGAGGGGGACCUUCGGGCCUCUUGCCAUCGGAUGUGCCCAGAUGGGAUUAGCUUGUUGGUGGGGUAACGGCUCACCUAGGCGACGAUCCCUAGCUGGUCUGAGAGGAUGACCAGCCACACUGGAACUGAGACACGGUCCAGACUCCUACGGGAGGCAGCAGUGGGGAAUAUUGCACAAUGGGCGCAAGCCUGAUGCAGCCAUGCCGCGUGUAUGAAGAAGGCCUUCGGGUUGUAAAGUACUUUCAGCGGGGAGGAAGGGAGUAAAGUUAAUACCUUUGCUCAUUGACGUUACCCGCAGAAGAAGCACCGGCUAACUCCGUGCCAGCAGCCGCGGUAAUACGGAGGGUGCAAGCGUUAAUCGGAAUUACUGGGCGUAAAGCGCACGCAGGCGGUUUGUUAAGUCAGAUGUGAAAUCCCC